Molecule: ribosomal RNA, 475 nt
Filed under: uncultured soil bacterium
Lineage: Bacteria
Description: bacterial SSU rRNA
Rfam family: Bacterial small subunit ribosomal RNA
Source: RNAcentral
AGAUUGAACGCUGGCGGCAUGCCUAACACAUGCAAGUCGAACGGGAGUAGCAAUACUCUAGUGGCGGACGGGUGAGGAAUACGUAGGAAUUUGCCCUUAAGUGGGGGAUAACCCGGGGAAACCCGGAUUAAUACCGCAUGACCUCGAAAGAGCAAAGUGGGGGAUCGCAAGACCUCACGCUUUUGGAGAAGCCUACGUCGGAUUAGCUAGUUGGUGAGGUAAUGGCUCACCAAGGCGACGAUCCGUAACUGGUCUGAGAGGAUGAUCAGUCACACCGGAACUGAGACACGGUCCGGACUCCUACGGGAGGCAGCAGUGGGGAAUAUUGGACAAUGGGCGCAAGCCUGAUCCAGCAAUGCCGCGUGUGUGAAGAGGCCUUCGGUUGUAAGCUACGUUUAAGUUAGGGAAGAAAAACUCGACUACGUAACACAGUGAGUCUUGACGGUACCGACAGAAUAAGACGACCGCUAACGUC